RNAcentral lists this long non-coding RNA (1008 nucleotides) under Ananas comosus (pineapple). Its description in RNAcentral is "long non-coding RNA (ACOM_LNC013942)". Lineage: Eukaryota; Viridiplantae; Streptophyta; Magnoliopsida; Poales; Bromeliaceae. The record is from RNAcentral.
AUGAUAUGACAUCUUAGUUAGUUUCACACCAUCAGUUAGAACACUAUAAAAUCAUGAGGAAUACUUCACUACUCCAUAUAAAUCUUGACCAUUUAUUUUUCUUAAUAGAUGGUUUAGAUUUAAUAUGAUUAUAGAGGUGACCUGCUAUUGAAGCAUAGGUACCAUUCACCAGGCACCCAUUUAAAGGGUAUUUUAGUCUUUGUAAAAUAGUUUGGUCCACAAAACCGGUUUUAUCCAACUAAGAAUAUUGUGGCCCUCUUAAAUACCUACAACAAUAGUUGAAUUUUAAAUUACAACCAAACUAUAAAUUUAAAUUCAAAACAACAUUUAAAACUUUAUAAAUCAAAUUUAAUUUUUUUUAAUAUAAAACAUAAAUUUUAAAAUAAAACUUUUUGUUCCAAUUCAAAAUUUCAAUUUAAAUCAAAAAUUAAAAUUUGGCUUUAAGAUUAAACGUUCAAUUUAGAUUCAAAUUUAAAAGUUUAAUAUAAAUUUCAAAAUUAAAAUUUUACAUUACAAUACUAAUUUUAAAAAUUAAAUUUUAAAUUCAAUAUUUUUUUGAGAUGAAUAGUUAAUAAAUUGGGUAUCAUCUAAUUUGGUAAGUUAUCAAAGUAAACAAGAUAUUUAAUAUUUAAAGGAUACUGACAAAUUGGGUAUAUACUAAUUUUUUUUCAAUAUUAUCAUGUUAAUUAAUUCAAAUCGGUAACCUGUUCAACAGGUUACUUCGUGUAAAUCCCAACUAUACCCUUUACUAAUUAAGAAAUUAAAUUUUAAUACUUGUGGUGUAUUGAAGCAUUCCUCUAAAAUCAUACAUUAUAUAUAACAAACUAAAUUGAAUUGUAUGACUAACUUAUAGCAAUUUAAAAAGUUAAGCAAACAAACACAAUAAAUUAAAAUUUGGGUAAAAACGUACAUAACUUAUCUGAACUAUGGAUCAUUUUAAUUUGAUUAUUAAACUUUUUAAAAUUUUGAUUUUACUAUCCAAUCUUUUAAUUUGUUUAAUCUAAGUUU